This is a non-coding RNA of Lepisosteus oculatus (spotted gar), 4264 nucleotides long. The record is from RefSeq and is a predicted model, not a curated record. NCBI's taxonomy places the organism in Eukaryota, Metazoa, Chordata, Actinopteri, Semionotiformes, Lepisosteidae.
AGAAGGUUUAUUACGCGGCAUUUGUAUCUCCGAUGAAAACGCCUCGAAUUAUAAAACCCCUCGAAUUAUAAAACCCGACAUUUCGUCGACGCGGUACUGCACGGUGUACCCGGCGCCACCCAAGUCCAACUUGGAGAACUGUAACGACCGCGCGUCCAGAGAGAAACAAAACCGGCGACCACGAUGACCAGUUCGGCUACCGUCCCUUAAGAGGCACGAAAAAAGAUUCCCCCGUGGUUUGUGAAGACGGGGGCAGCGCAAAUCCAGUCGGUUUAUUUUUUUAACCCCAAACCAAGUUUUUUUUUGUUUUAGCCUUGCGUGAGAACGUCUAACCUCUGUUAUUGGACCUGGCGGAGGCUUGGCUGGUAGAAAGACCCGAGCUCGGCGGCUCUCGUUAAGGGCAGGGCGGGCCGCGCGAGUCCCGGGCUGGACCGACACCACUGCCGGUCUUUGACAGAGCCGAUUGGUGUUUUCUCGCUUUAAUAUGCGGCUUUAAAGGACAUGAACGGAUCCCACCAGUCCAUUUUCUAUCCGCUCCCCCCCCCCGACUCCGCACGGGCAGCACCCCGGCGCUGCGAGACAGGGCGCCGCCGGCGCGCCCGUGUUACAGCUCCCAGGGUAGAAAAAUCCCGAGCUUCAGGCCUGCCGGAUGAAGUUGAGCGACUCUCUCAAACGAACCCCUCUAGACACCAGCAGCCCCCAGGUGGAUAGUCUUCUGGACAUUUAAAAAGAGUAAAAUUCAGGGGUGAUUUCAAUCACGUGCCCCCUGAUCCUGUUGCCCCGAUUGUUUUCAUCAGGAGAAAUCCCGAUUGAUGUUAUGUAUGUUCAGACAUUGUUUCAGUUUUUUCAUGCACUACAAGCAAUGUGAUGAGUAGUCAGUGGGAUUUUAACAUUGCUUAGAGAGAUGGCUCACAGCCCUGUGCCCAAACACACAGAGAAAGGAGACAAUUCACAGCCCUGUGCCCAAACACACAGAGAAAGGAGACAAAUCACAGCCCUGUGCCCAAACACACAGAGAAAGGAGACACAUCACAGCCCUGUGCCCAAACACACAGAGAAAGGAGACAAAUCACCAAUAUGUGCCUAUACAGUAAAUACACGGAGAGAAAGGAGACGCAUAUCAGAGAUGUGUUCCCAUAGCAAUGAGAGAAUGGAAAUGCAUCACAAGCAUGUGUCCAAACAGAGAUUCAUGCCAGCACACAGCCAAUAGCACAGCUAUUCCCUGAACUGGGACCCUCCAACUAACUGCACUGUAUUCCUGAGCCCCUGGGACCCUCCACCCCCUAAUCCACUGCAGGAGGGGUUGGACUUUAAGGGAGAUGUGCUCUCAAAGUGCAAAUCCCUGCUCCGCAGUUUCAGAGCCGGGACAGCGAAAGGGACAAAAGCAAGUGGUCGGGCUCGGAGGGACUCUUUCACCGGGCAGCUCCAGCCCCAUCAUCCACUUGUGCGCUGAUCGAUAGUGGACAAUCCCCUCUUUCGGAAAGCUGCCCACCGCAAUGUUAGCCUGAGCGAUUGUGGGCACCCCGACUCCUCAGGAAGGCUGGCUCUGUGCUGGGGCUGAGCCUUGACCCCCCUGGAGGUGGUGGCCGUCAUGAACCACGCCUCUCCUCCGCUUCAUGGGACUGUUACUGGGCAGCGGAGCACUUUGAGCAACAGGCUGCUCCAGCUCCGGUAUUCAAGGGAACGUUUCCGCAGAGUCGCCUCUUGUUGAGCAGACUGGAGCGGAUUCUCCGACGGCUCAAGACGGACCCUGUCAUUCAAUAAUUCGCCGAUGAGUUUGCGGACCGGGGGUGUCGCCAACAGGAAGAUUUGGGAGCGGGGGGGCAAUUUAUCCGGGAGAUUAUGGAACUUCCUGGAGGUCUGGUGUCAGAAAUACGGACGAAGUCAACGUGUCGGCGCCUGGAGCACCGCGGCGUGAAACCACAGCAGGAGAGCGACGCUCUAGAACAGGUGUCCCCGUUCUAGAACAGGGACAGCGAUUCUAGAACUGAUCUUCCCACAGGACAGGGGCAUAUCGGUUCUAGAACAGAGAGCUACAGCACCUGCGGCAUCGCUUUGUAGGACAGCGGUGUCUGCUCAGAGCCCAUGUUGUCCGAUAAACCGCCGUUACGCCAUUAACGUGCUCGUUAUGUGCUGUCAUUAACACGGCCACACGCGCUCGUCUCGGGCUGCUUAUCUUCCUAAUUUGAACUUUUUUCUAAAACAAAAACGCCAAAGGUGUAACGUUUGUACAAGAUAUGCCUUCUACCGCGUCUUGAACGGCUUACCCAAGUAUUAAAAAAGAAUUACGCUUAAUAAAUACCGAGCUGUAUUUCGGAAAACAGCGCACAAGCCCAGCAGCGUGUGUGUUGGACUGUGGGAAGAAACACAGGAGAACUCGAGGGGAGCAGACAGACUCCACACAGACAGCACCCCAGGAAACGGAUCCCAGCUCCGCCACUGCGCCACCGGGCGGCCGGACAGCGACACCAACAGGGUGAGGACACGCGUUUCGGUCUCGACGAUGUCAAACGCUUUGGCAAAAGGUGACUUUGUUUUUCUUCCCCAGGAAUCUCCGCUACCUCCCUCAAUAGUUUUAACGCCUCUUCAGGCAGAACUAGGGACUGCGGGUCGGUGACGUGGCCGGGAGAGAAGGGGAACUGAGAACUGGGUCCACAGUAGCGCACGGCGUGACUUCGUCAGGGAACGCAGAAGGGGGCUGCGACGGGGAGGGAGAGGAUGAUUAAUGCCGUGUGUCAGCCCGCAUGAGCGCCGGCGCGGCCGAGGGAGCCGGGGAGCCCAGCCGGCACACCGCUGCCCCCAGCUGGCUGACGGAGGAACUGCAGAGCGCCGCGCACGCCGGACCGCAAACCACGACCUAGAGGCGAUCUCCACUGUGCACACCUGUGCUCGCCUCGGAACUAAUACCGGCCUGCCGCCUCAACCCUUUGCUGCUUCAAGAUAAUGUAUCUUUCUCACGGAGAAAGCAGAAGCUGAUUCCACUCUGAAAAGUAAAAAGGUAGAUAAAAACGUCUGAAAGUCUGAAAACCCGGCACAGCAGAACGCCGGAACGCGGAUAAUGAUAGAUUUCAGGAUUUUCUUAAACUGUUCUAUUUGCAGGCAGUUCUGUAUUGUUUUCUUAAAUACAAUAGCAACACUUCUAGGGACAUGAACUACCACAUUGUUCGCUAUGUAUUAUAAAGUUAUGAAGUUUAUUAUAUUAUAAAGUAUUUUAAAUCACUCCCCCUGGAGAAUAGCUAUCCAUUUUCCUGAACAUGUUUCGCUGCCAGGUUACUGUGAAACGUGUUUGUGGAGUGAAUGGUUUACGGUUGGAGAUAUUUCUGAUAUGAGAAUACAAUUAAGUGUCAUUAUUAUCUUUUCAUUGCGUGAUUUCUUAGCAUUGUAAGUACUUAGCAUUUUCCUUCAAGAAAACAGUGUAGAAAUAAAAUAGGAUUAUAGAACAGUAUAGUAUAAACAUGGACAGGAAGUGUGAGCAUUUUAAAAUACCAAAACCUCUUCGGUUUUUGCCGGCGUGUUUAACUUUCUGCAGUUUGCUUUUUGUUGCUUUAGCCUUCGGAUUCUGGAAUAAAAAUAAAUUCGCGUAAAGUAAAUCUAACUCCCAGCUAAUGUGCUUUCUCCCUUAGGCCUGUGGGUUUAGCUAUUUACACAAGACGCUUGUACUUGGUAGCAUACAAAGCAACAUCGCAUGCUAACAACGCACAAUUCGCCGGAUAGCAGUGUUAUAGUUUAUGCUUUGUGUUUUGUUCGGGCUCCACGUUUGUACGGUUGUGUGGGCGUAGGUAAUGUUAAUAAUAACGUAAAAAGGGCCAAAAUCGAGAUUGUGUUGAAUAUAGGACAAUUAACCGGCGUCCCCCAAUUUUCACCCCCCUGUCCGCAAGAGAAAUUAAAUCGGAUUCGUUCGCCUGUACUGAGGCGGGUUGUCUUAACUGUCUGUGAUUGCGUAUAGAAACACCACCGCCUCAGCUACUCAUACUCCACGUCAUCGACGCAUGUGCGCUCUCUGCUGCCCCCCAGUGGACACAAGCCCGAAUGUCAGUGAAGUCAUGCGCUUGCCUCCGAAGCGUAACACGCAACAGUCAAAACAGGAGAGCACAAACAAACAAACAGCACAAAAAGCCCACACAACACAAACAAAAAUCAGCACACGAACGAAAAAGAGCGCCCACAGAAAAACGUGUUCAGAGCGGAAAUGGGGGCUCGCAGCGGACAUGUCGUGUGCUGUAAGGAGACGGGGAGGUUACAGGCCGGCGUGAGGUGAAGGUUA